GAUGAAGAACGUAGCGAAAUGCGAUAAGUAAUGUGAAUUGCAGAAUUCAGUGAAUCAUCGAAUCUUUGAACGCACAUUGCGCCCCUUGGUAUUCCGAGGGGCAUGCCUGUUCGAGCGUCAUUAUAACCCCUCAAGCUCAGCUUGGUGUUGGGGCCUGCCGCACGGGCAGCCCUUAAAAUCAGUGGCGGUGCCAUCUGGCUCUAAGCGUAGUAAUUCUUCUCGCUAUAGAGUCCCGGUGGAUGCUUGCAAUUAACCCCCAAUUUUCUAUGGUUGACCUCGGAUCAGGUAGGGAUACCCGCUGAACUUAAGCAUAUCAAUAAGCGGAGGA
This 328-nucleotide unclassified non-coding RNA is filed under the name soil metagenome. RNAcentral's name for it is "partial contains 5.8S ribosomal RNA, internal transcribed spacer 2, and large subunit ribosomal RNA". The stretch from base 1 to 120 matches the Rfam family "5.8S ribosomal RNA", at positions 35 to 154 of the family's 154-position model. The record is from RNAcentral.